Molecule: ribosomal RNA, 664 nt
Filed under: uncultured fungus
Lineage: Eukaryota; Fungi
Description: eukaryotic LSU rRNA
Rfam family: Eukaryotic large subunit ribosomal RNA
Source: RNAcentral
CCCGCUGAACUUAAGCAUAUCAAUAAGCGGAGGAAAAGAAACUAACAAGGAUUCCCCUAGUAACUGCGAGUGAAGCGGGAAAAGCUCAAAUUUAAAAUCUGGUGGCCUUUGGCCAUCCGAGUUGUAAUUUAGAGAAGCGUCUUCCGCGCUGGACCGUGCACAAGUCUCCUGGAAUGGAGCGUCGUAGAGGGUGAGAAUCCCGUCUUUGGCACGGACGCCCAGUGCUUCUGUGAUGCGCUCUCGAAGAGUCGAGUUGUUUGGGAAUGCAGCUCAAAAUGGGUGGUGAACUCCAUCUAAAGCUAAAUAUUGGCGAGAGACCGAUAGCGAACAAGUACCGUGAGGGAAAGAUGAAAAGCACUUUGGAAAGAGAGUGAAACAGUACGUGAAAUUUUGUGAAGGGAAACGCUUGAAGUCAGUCGCGUCGUCCGAGACUCAGCCUCGCCUCGGCUUGGUGUACUUCUCGGACGACGGGUCAGCAUCAAUUUUGCCCCUUGGAUAAUGGCGAGGGAAAUGUGACACCUUUGCGGGUGUGUUAUAGUCUCUAGUCGCAUGCAAGGGUCGGGAUUGAGGAACUCAGCACGCGCCUUCGGGCGUCGGGGUUCGCCCACGAUACGUGCUUAGGAUGUUGGCGUAAUGGCUUUAAACGACCCGUCUUGAAACACGG